This 675-nucleotide ribosomal RNA is filed under the name Microbacterium sp. RNAcentral describes it as "bacterial SSU rRNA". It matches the Rfam family "Bacterial small subunit ribosomal RNA", at positions 56 to 748 of the family's 1533-position model. Lineage: Bacteria; Bacillati; Actinomycetota; Actinomycetes; Micrococcales; Microbacteriaceae. The record is from RNAcentral.
UGCAGUCGACGGUGAGCCAGCUUGCUUGGUGGAUCAGUGGCGAACGGGUGAGUAACACGUGAGCAACCUGCCCUGGACUCUGGGAUAAGCGCUGGAAACGGCGUCUAAUACUGGAUAUGAGCCCCUAUCGCAUGGUGGGGGUUGGAAAGAUUUUUUGGUCUGGGAUGGGCUCGCGGCCUAUCAGCUUGUUGGUGAGGUAAUGGCUCACCAAGGCGUCGACGGGUAGCCGGCCUGAGAGGGUGACCGGCCACACUGGGACUGAGACACGGCCCAGACUCCUACGGGAGGCAGCAGUGGGGAAUAUUGCACAAUGGGCGAAAGCCUGAUGCAGCAACGCCGCGUGAGGGAUGACGGCCUUCGGGUUGUAAACCUCUUUUAGCAGGGAAGAAGCGAAAGUGACGGUACCUGCAGAAAAAGCGCCGGCUAACUACGUGCCAGCAGCCGCGGUAAUACGUAGGGCGCAAGCGUUAUCCGGAAUUAUUGGGCGUAAAGAGCUCGUAGGCGGUUUGUCGCGUCUGCUGUGAAAUCCCGAGGCUCAACCUCGGGCCUGCAGUGGGUACGGGCAGACUAGAGUGCGGUAGGGGAGAUUGGAAUUCCUGGUGUAGCGGUGGAAUGCGCAGAUAUCAGGAGGAACACCGAUGGCGAAGGCAGAUCUCUGGGCCGUAACUGACGCUG